RNAcentral lists this small RNA (166 nucleotides) under Pan troglodytes (chimpanzee). RNAcentral describes it as "retained intron". Lineage: Eukaryota; Metazoa; Chordata; Mammalia; Primates; Hominidae. The record is from RNAcentral.
UUAAAGAAUGCGAAAAUAAGCAGCCACAGGUUGAAGAAGAAAUGGAGAAGCACAGAAGUAAUAGCACAGAAUUAUCAGGAACCCUAACUGAUGGUACUACUUUUGGCAAUGAUGAUGAUGGACUAAAUCAGCAGAUUCCUAGGAAGGAAAAUGGAGAGCAUGACAG